CUGGCCUUCUGCGUCUGCUGGCGCCUGCAGGGCGUCGUCUCCGACGUGACGGCGGCCGCGCGGCGUUUCCCUUGGGCUCUGCCCUGCGCAGCCCUGGUCCGAGCUGGCCAGUAAGGCCCCGCGCCCUCCCCGCCUCGCCGCGAGGAUCCACCGCGGCCGCCCAGGCUGUUGGCCUUGUCCUCACGGCUCGGAGAUAAGCCGGCGCUGGUCACACCGCGAAACCCCUGUUCGCACUGAGACCCCGCUCGGGAUCAUGCGCACAGGCCAGGGCGCAGCAAGCCUUGGAGAAGCUACCUGCACAGCCCAUUCCUUGCGCGAGCUUCGCAUCUUCUGCCUCAGUUUCCUUACCUGUAAAGGGGUGAUCAUAGGACAUCCUUGGUCACACCUUUGUGGGACCCACCUGGGCUAGAGCGCGGUACCCGCCCAGGACAGUGACUGCUGCUGGAAACCGUCGUGGCACUGGGGUCACCUCCCCAAGGCCCUCAGUUUCCAUGAUGGCUCAGCACAGAUGACUAUCCUGACCACCUCACACCCCUCCUUCCUCAAGAGGGUUCUGGCGUUUCUCUUUGCUCCCUGGAGGAAGUGGGCUUCCUGCAAGCAGAGCUGUGCCCAGGACCAUGCCAGCCCAUGACAGGCAUUCACCCUGUUCUAACCAGUGAACAAAGGGGAGGAGUAAUUUUUUCAACAAAUGGUGCUGGGAUCUUGCAGGUACCUGAACAUAUGCAAGCUCCUGGAGGGCAGCAUGCCCAGGGAGGGCAGGUAAGCUCUGUGCCCACACCCCCACAACAAACACACACACACAUAUACAUACCCCACACACACAUACCCAACACACGCACACACCCAACACACGCACACAUACCCAACGCACACACUGAACACACACAUACACACACCCAUCAUAACACACACACACACACCCAACACACACCUACACAACCCCCAGACACACACACUCAACACACACACAUACCCAACACACACACAUACCCAACACACAUCCCAGCAUACACAGCAUACACACAUACCCAACACACAUCCCAGCAUACACAGCAUACACACAUACCCAACACAACACACACCAACACACACAACACACAUAACACACUUCCAACACACACAUACACAUACCCAACACACAACAUACACAUAUACACCCCCAAUACACACAACACAUGCCCAGCGCACACAACACACACAUAUACACACCAAACACACACACACGCCUAA
RNAcentral lists this long non-coding RNA (1230 nucleotides) under Macaca nemestrina (pig-tailed macaque). Its description in RNAcentral is "lncRNA (ENSMNEG00000046021.1)". Lineage: Eukaryota; Metazoa; Chordata; Mammalia; Primates; Cercopithecidae. The record is from RNAcentral.